Molecule: ribosomal RNA, 323 nt
Filed under: uncultured bacterium
Lineage: Bacteria
Description: bacterial SSU rRNA
Rfam family: Bacterial small subunit ribosomal RNA
Source: RNAcentral
UCGCAAGAUGUCAGCGGCAGACGGGAGAGUAACACGUGGGAACAUGCCCUUCGGUUCGGAGUAACUCAGGGAAACUUGAGCUAAUACCGGAUACGUCCGUAAGGAGAAAGAUUUAUCGCCGAAGGAUUGGCCCGCGUCCGAUUAGCUAGUUGGUGAGGUAACGGCUCACCAAGGCGACGAUCGGUAGCUGGUCUGAGAGGAUGAUCAGCCUCACUGGGACUGAGACACGGCCCAGACUCCUACGGGAGGCAGCAGUGGGGAAUAUUGGACAAUGGGCGCAAGCCUGAUCCAGCCAUGCCGCGUGGGUGAUGAAGGCCCUAGGG